UCUGGCAUUCAUGUCAUCAAUCAGCUGUGUGACCUGGGGCAGGUCACUUACCUUCCCCAGGCCUUAGUUACCCCUGCAUAAAAUGAGAAGCCUGGAGUAAAUGGUCUUUAAGGCCUCUUCCAACCCAGGUAUACGACUGUAGCCUAAUGCCAGGUAUAGACGUAGUAGGUGUUCAGGAGAUGUUUAUUUAGUAAUUUAACGAUAAGAUUCAAGGCAAGAUUCUGCAGGUCCCAGCACCCAUAUACUUCCUCACUAUAAGUUUUGCCUCUGCUGUUAGUUAAUUUGUGUCCAGUGCCAGCUCAACAGGUAUUAAACCAAGCACCUGUCAGGGUCUGGGAUUUAUCCCGCUUACAAGCCAAUAAGCUAGCCCGCUGUUGUUUCAUAAAUGCUGGCAGAAGACGUGGCUUCCUGAGUCGGACACAAAGAAUUUGCCACUCCUGGCACAGGGAGCAGGCUGUCCCUCCACUACCAGAAGAGUGCAAACACCGUGAGGGCAUGAGCGGGUGCUCCUUCUUCCUACACUCCACACCCAGAUCAUUUGCAUCCAGCAGGUGCUU
Molecule: long non-coding RNA, 557 nt
Organism: Prionailurus viverrinus (fishing cat)
Lineage: Eukaryota; Metazoa; Chordata; Mammalia; Carnivora; Felidae
Exons: 3
Source: RefSeq, a predicted model, not a curated record